This 259-nucleotide ribosomal RNA is filed under the name uncultured bacterium. Its description in RNAcentral is "partial 16S ribosomal RNA". It matches the Rfam family "Bacterial small subunit ribosomal RNA", at positions 793 to 1050 of the family's 1533-position model. The record is from RNAcentral.
GUCCACGCCCUAAACGAUGUCUACUAGUUGUUGGGUCUUAAUUGACUUAGUAACGCAGCUAACGCGUGAAGUAGACCGCCUGGGGAGUACGGUCGCAAGAUUAAAACUCAAAGGAAUUGACGGGGACCCGCACAAGCGGUGGAUGAUGUGGAUUAAUUCGAUGCAACGCGAAAAACCUUACCUACCCUUGACAUGUACAGAAUGCCGAAGAGAUUUGGCGGUGCUCGCAAGAGAACUGUAACACAGGUGCUGCAUGGCU